Long non-coding RNA from Bubalus bubalis (water buffalo), 2086 nucleotides. RefSeq lists it as uncharacterized. Lineage: Eukaryota; Metazoa; Chordata; Mammalia; Artiodactyla; Bovidae. The transcript has 3 exons. The record is from RefSeq and is a predicted model, not a curated record.
AAUGCAGUCAAAGCGCCCUCUCGGCGCCCGCCGACGGAGCGCACACCCAGCGGUCUGAGGGCAGCGGCCUCGGCCUCCUAGCAGGCCCGCCUCACCCCGGGGACCCGCCAGCCCUCCAGCUCUGCCCCCGCCGCCUCCUGGGACCUGAGCACACACGAGACGGCCCACCGCAACGGGAAAAGGGAAGAGAACCCCCCCCCCACACACACACACAAAACUUCUGUCGCAGAGCCUUUCUCUACUGGCCCAAGGGCGCCGUGAGAAACCCCGACGAGCCCGGGGCACCCGCGCCGCCCCUAGUAAAGAUGGCGGCCACAGGCGCAGCCGCUCCCUCCCCGUGCGGUUGGCGGCCCCUCGGUCCACAGCCGUUCACGCGGAAGCCCUCCACGCCCACCGCGGCUUGACGCAUUGCAGGUGCGGCGGGACCAAUCAGGCGCCUCGACUCUUUCCGGCCAACCACUGCAGGGUCGCGCUGGCCAAUCAGAGCGCCCUUCUCUGAUUGAGCGAGGAAAGCGGCCUCGGCAGCGCCAGCUAAGCAACCGGCUCCAGGGCAGCGCGUUUUGGAGGCUGUGAGUCGCGGUCCGUGUGCUCCUCCGCCGGGAGAUAUAGUGCCCCCGCCCCGCCCCGCCCCGCCCCGCGAGCGCGCGCGCUUGAACAGCUUCAGCGCGAGGCUCGGCGGUCGUCUGGCUCCCGGAGCGGCGGGAGGCGAGUAGUUCUAGAGAGGACUGGGUUCCUUUGCCUUGUUCUUGGCCCUCCGAGGGGCACUCUCGAGCCGUCCUCGCCCUGCCUCCUGGCUCGGUGAGGUCGCGCUCCUGACGGCUCAUCCGACACGUUCUGUCAGGUGCCGCCGGCGAGAUGAGCAAAAACAUCCCCUUGCCUCGAAAGCCUGCCUCGCUUGGCCCCGGAAGGCGACCCUUCCUGUUUACAGGCGGAGGCCCAGCCGCCCGGGAGCGCACUCGCGGGCACCUUUGUUUCAGAGAGACCCGUUUUCGUUUCCCUUACCUGGUUUUUUCUUUUGACCUCUUCCCGCGGGCGCGGGUUUCCCGAGCCGGCCGGGCAGGAGGAGGACGGCCCAGGGGCCGGCCUGGGAGCCCGGGGACAGAACCGACGGUGAGCUCCGGGGCAGACCAAGGGGCAGUGUCUUGAGUCCUGAGGAAAGACUCUCCUAGAUAAGGCUUGGCGAGAUAGCCUGUCAGAUGGGCCAUCAGUUCUGUCAGUUCAGUUGCUCAGUCGUGUCCGACUCCUUGCGACCCCAUGGACUGCAGCAGGCCAGGCCUCCCUGCCUAUCAUCGGAGCUUGCUCAGACUCAUGUCCAUCCAAUCGGUGAUGCCAUCCAACCAUCUGGUACCACAGUCUGCCUAGUGCAGAGUCUGUCUGGGGACCUUUCAUCCUGCUCUGUGCCGUGAGCAGUCUGAGAUCCAGAAACGUCAAUCCACCUUCCUGCAGUCGCCCCGCGCUUGAGGAGCAGAGCAUAGACUAGAAUCCAGGGGAGAAUGUGAGAAGAAAGGCGCCCACCAGUAUUCCUGGUAUAGCUUGAAAACUCUCCUGAAGGCAAAUCUUCCCAGUGGCCAAAAUGAUCCAGUCAUCCUGUGGUGAUGCCUAGAGUUGGUUUAUUAGCCAAUGACUCAGAGUCUCUACUUAGAAUGAAUAAAACUCAAAAGCAUCUUCACUGGACUUGGACAGAGAUAGGCCCAGUUUUUCUGUUGAACAACCUGCCUUUGGCCGAAUUUUCUCCACACAGGAAGCUGGGAAUGGAUCCAGUCUCACGAAAGUGGGGAAAGAACUGCCAAAGAAAGGAAGGCUCAGCCCAGGCACUGGGGAGCCUCUGAAAAGUUCUGAGCAGAGAAGAGACAGGAUGAAACCACACUGGUACUGUGUGCUGGAUGGAUCAGAAGGGCACAAAGUCAUCAGGGGUGAACCAAGAAUAACACAUGUGAGACUAAAAUGGGGGACCCUUAGGAUUCUUGCGGAGAAGGCAAUGGUACCCUACCCAGUACUCUUGCCUGGAAAAUCCCAUGGACGGAGGAGCCUGGUAGGCUAAAGUCCAUGGGGCCGCUAAGAGUCGGACACGACUGAGCGACUUGAC